Molecule: long non-coding RNA, 870 nt
Organism: Cercocebus atys (sooty mangabey)
Lineage: Eukaryota; Metazoa; Chordata; Mammalia; Primates; Cercopithecidae
Exons: 3
Source: RefSeq, a predicted model, not a curated record
GCGAUUGGAGAAUAUAAAACCCUAAAAUGGAAAGCAGAGGAGUGACUGGAAAUAAAGCUUUAGAAACUGAAUACAUGGCUGUGAAUGGUAACAACGUCUCUUUCCUAGCGAUAAGGAUCGACUGAGAAAAUCCUCCAUGGUGGGUUAGAAGAUGCUAAAGAAACAUUGAAAUAUUUGAGCUACAGACUCAGAUGGCCAAGAGGCUCCAGAGGGGCAGGCCUGGUGGUGAGUGGAGCUGCAGAGAUUGCACCUGCCGAGGGUGAGAGACAGAAAAGUGGCAGAACCUAAACCAGAGCCCCGGCCCCCACCCAGCCUUUGCAAUCACCCAUUGAGUAUCCCGUGUCCGGUGACUUGAGAUCAAGACCAAGGAGAAAAGAAAAGUUCACAUGUCAAAAAUAUAUCCACAAGCUUCAACCAAACAAUAACUUCGAAACAUGCCUUUCUGUCUCUCUUGGAAAAGGAUUUCUGAAUGUCGGAGUGAGAUUUGUUACCUGAUGAUGCCUCAGGUCUGUGAAGACUUCUCCUCCCAGGGUCUCGAGGGAAGUGGAAGGAAGUGCCCAUCAGGUUAAUGCUGGAAACCUAGUCCCGUGUGUGACCCGAGGGAACUCGUCAUCGUGCGUUCGGUCCCGCCUCUCAAUGCUGUUGCAUUGGGGAUCAAGUUUCAAACACAUGAACUUUGAGGGACGUCUUCAGACUACAGCACCCAUCCACUUGGAUGUUUGUAAGUAGUGACUGCAAAUAAAUGUCGAUGGAUCCACAUAAAAGCCCCGACAGAGAAACUGAGUCUUUGUCCACCUCUGUCUUUAGGAAGGAAAUGCGGAAAGGGAGCAGCCACCUUAAUACUUUGGGGAUGAAGAAGCCAUUUAUUCA